CGGGACGGGGUGGAGUAAUGUCUGGGAAACUAGCCUGAUGGAGGGGGAUAACUACUGGAAACGGUAGCUAAUACCGCAUAACGUCGCAAGACCAAAGAGGGGGACCUUCGGGCCUCUUGCCAUCGGAUGUGCCCAGAUGGGAUUAGCUAGUAGGUGGGGUAACGGCUCACCUAGGCGACGAUCCCUAGCUGGUCUGAGAGGAUGCCAGCCACACUGGAACUGAGACACGGUCCAG
This 235-nucleotide ribosomal RNA is filed under the name uncultured bacterium. RNAcentral's name for it is "partial 16S ribosomal RNA". It matches the Rfam family "Bacterial small subunit ribosomal RNA", at positions 104 to 334 of the family's 1533-position model. The record is from RNAcentral.